This is a non-coding RNA of Fusarium proliferatum ET1, 72 nucleotides long. Lineage: Eukaryota; Fungi; Ascomycota; Sordariomycetes; Hypocreales; Nectriaceae. The record is from the annotation of a RefSeq genome assembly.
GGUCCUAUAGUCUAGUGGUCAUGACGUUGGAUUUUGAUUCCAAAGACCCCGGUUCGAACCCGGGUAGGACCU